UACGAAGGGAGCUAGCGUUGUUCGGAAUCACUGGGCGUAAAGCGCACGUAGGCGGAUCUUUAAGUCAGGGGUGAAAUCCUGGAGCUCAACUCCAGAACUGCCUUUGAUACUGAGGGUCUCGAGUCCGGGAGAGGUGAGUGGAACUGCGAGUGUAGAGGUGAAAUUCGUAGAUAUUCGCAAGAACACCAGUGGCGAAGGCGGCUCACUGGCCCGGUACUGACGCUGAGGUGCGAAAGCGUGGGGAGCAAACAGG
RNAcentral lists this ribosomal RNA (253 nucleotides) under uncultured bacterium. RNAcentral's name for it is "partial 16S ribosomal RNA". It matches the Rfam family "Bacterial small subunit ribosomal RNA", at positions 524 to 776 of the family's 1533-position model. The record is from RNAcentral.